AGUGAACGCUGGCGGUAGGCCUAACACAUGCAAGUCGAACGGCAGCACAGUAAGAGCUUGCUCUUACGGGUGGCGAGUGGCGGACGGGUGAGGAAUACAUCGGAAUCUACUUUUUCGUGGGGGAUAACGUAGGGAAACUUACGCUAAUACCGCAUACGACCUACGGGUGAAAGCAGGGGAUCUUCGGACCUUGCGCGAUUGAAUGAGCCGAUGUCGGAUUAGCUAGUUGGCGGGGUAAAGGCCCACCAAGGCGACGAUCCGUAGCUGGUCUGAGAGGAUGAUCAGCCACACUAGAACUGAGACACGGUCCAGACCCCUACGGGAGGCAGCAGUGGGGAAUAGUGGACAAUGGGCGCAAGCCUGAUCCAGCCAUACCGCGUGGGUGAAGAAGGCCUUCGGGUUGUAAAGCCCUUUUGUUGGGAAAGAAAAGCAGCAGGUUAAUACCCCGCUGUUCUGACGGUACCCAAAGAAUAAGCACCGGCUAACUUCGUG
RNAcentral lists this ribosomal RNA (492 nucleotides) under uncultured bacterium. RNAcentral's name for it is "partial 16S ribosomal RNA". It matches the Rfam family "Bacterial small subunit ribosomal RNA", at positions 29 to 507 of the family's 1533-position model. The record is from RNAcentral.